This 425-nucleotide ribosomal RNA is filed under the name uncultured bacterium. Its description in RNAcentral is "partial 16S ribosomal RNA". It matches the Rfam family "Bacterial small subunit ribosomal RNA", at positions 354 to 796 of the family's 1533-position model. The record is from RNAcentral.
GUGGGGAAUAUUGCACAAUGGGGGAAACCCUGAUGCAGCGACGCCGCGUGAGUGAAGAAGUAUUUCGGUACGUAAAGCUCUAUCAGCAAGGAAGAAAAUGACGGUACUUGACUAAGAAGCCCCGGCUAACUACGUGCCAGCAGCCGCGGUAAUACGUAGGGGGCAAGCGUUAUCCGGAUUUACUGGGUGUAAAGGGAGCGUAGACGGUAUGGUAAGUCAGAUGUGAAAGCCCGGGGCUCAACCCCGGGACUGCAUUUGAAACUAUCAGAAUAGAGUGCAGGAGAAGUAAGUGGAAUUCCUAGUGUAGCGGUGAAAUGCGUAGAUAUUAGGAGGAACACCAGUGGCGAAGGCGGCUUACUGGACUGUAACUGACGUUGAGGCUCGAAAGCGUGGGGAGCAAACAGGAUUAGAAACCCCAGUAGUCC